GACGAACGCUGGCGGCGUGCUUAACACAUGCAAGUCGAACGGAAAGGCCCUGCUUUUGUGGGGUGCUCGAGUGGCGAACGGGUGAGUAACACGUGAGUAACCUGCCCUUGACUUUGGGAUAACUUCAGGAAACUGGGGCUAAUACCGGAUAGGAGCUCCUGCUGCACGGUGGGGGUUGGAAAGUUUCGGCGGUUGGGGAUGGACUCGCGGCUUAUCAGCUUGUUGGUGGGGUAGUGGCUUACCAAGGCUUUGACGGGUAGCCGGCCUGAGAGGGUGACCGGCCACAUUGGGACUGAGAUACGGCCCAGACUCCUACGGGAGGCAGCAGUGGGGAAUAUUGCACAAUGGGCGGAAGCCUGAUGCAGCAGCGCCGCGUGCGGGAUGACGGCCUUCGGGUUGUAAACCGCUUUCGACUGUGACGAAGCGUGAGUGACGGUAAUGGGUAAAGAAGCACCGGCUAACUACGUG
This 468-nucleotide ribosomal RNA is filed under the name uncultured bacterium. Its description in RNAcentral is "partial 16S ribosomal RNA". It matches the Rfam family "Bacterial small subunit ribosomal RNA", at positions 28 to 507 of the family's 1533-position model. The record is from RNAcentral.